RNAcentral lists this long non-coding RNA (508 nucleotides) under Glycine max (soybean). RNAcentral describes it as "long non-coding RNA (GMAX_LNC002576)". The record is from RNAcentral. Lineage: Eukaryota; Viridiplantae; Streptophyta; Magnoliopsida; Fabales; Fabaceae.
UAAUUACCUUGCAGGGUAUAGGACCAAAACCGAUGAUUCCAAUACACCCUACAUAGCUGGGUAUACAACAACUAAUGCCCAUGUGGCAAAUAAUCAACCUAAUUACAUUGCAGGGUAUAGGACUAGCACCACCCAAGAAUCCAAUACACCUUCUUACAUUGCAGGGUAUAGGACUAGCACCACCCAAGAAUCCAAUACACCUUCUUACAUUGCAGGGUAUAGGACUAGCACCACCCAAGAAUCCAAUACACCUUACAUUGCAGGGUAUAGGACUAGCACCACCCAAGAAUCCAAUACACCUUACAUUGCAGGGUAUAGGACUAGCACCACCCAAGAAUCCAAUACACCUUACAUUGCAGGGUAUAGGACUAGAACCACCCAUGAUCCUAAUGCACCUUACAUAGCUGGGUACACAACAACUAGUGCCAAGAAAGCUCCAAAAGGGUCAUCUCAUGAUGAUACCACUGGACCUUACAUAACCCAAUAUGGUGGACCCGGUCCCAAAAAU